RNAcentral lists this long non-coding RNA (802 nucleotides) under Brassica napus (rape). RNAcentral's name for it is "long non-coding RNA (BNAP_LNC008027)". Lineage: Eukaryota; Viridiplantae; Streptophyta; Magnoliopsida; Brassicales; Brassicaceae. The record is from RNAcentral.
CACAUACCAACAUCAACUUCCAAGGCGUCCCUCAGACCUGAGAUUCAUAAGUGCCACCAACUGCUAUUCUUUCCAUCUUCUGAAACAACACUGCAUAUUUCUUCCACAAACGAGCUGACCAAAACACAAUCUGACACCAGACCCGAGCCUUGAUCAUCCUUUGCAAAGAUAACACACAUUACUUGUGAUUCAGCAAGCUUCAGUUCCCCUUAUCCUUUGCAGAAAAUGAUUAACCAUCCAUCACAAACUACCUUUGUGACUGUAUUGAAACAAGACCACCUUAUCUUCAAGAUUUGAGCCUGAAAUCUGCUGAACUUGAUUUGAUUCAAGCUCCUUAAGUCUGGCUUGACUUAACCUGAAUAAUCUCCAACAUGAGAUAUUACCGGAAAGGAGUAUAUCAGCAGCUACGAAGAAGACGACGAACACUCAGCCUUCAAUUCCUCCGAUACCAACGAAGACACGCAGCUGGAACAGGGGAAAGCAAUGGUGACUCAAGAGCUAUGAUCUUUUACUUGAUCUCUCUAUCUUGUACUUGCUUUCUCCUUCCUCUGAAUAAUCUAUCUCUCCCUUCUGUAUCUCAUUCUUGCUUCAGCCUCUACGGAUCUUUCCUUUCUUGUGAAUAACACAACAUAGCUAGCAAGUCUCUUCAUCAUAAUCUCACACCAGACUAUGACUCUAGCCUCAAGAUAGAUCACCUUGCUUCUGCACAUGGUUUUACAAACCAGAAACCAAUAGAUCCGACUGGAUCUUCCUCCGUGUACGUUCUUUCUUACGCUUCCGACGUCUUCUUCGUCUACCACAA